This is a long non-coding RNA of Sinocyclocheilus grahami, 611 nucleotides long. RefSeq lists it as uncharacterized. The record is from RefSeq and is a predicted model, not a curated record. The transcript is spliced from 2 exons. NCBI's taxonomy places the organism in Eukaryota, Metazoa, Chordata, Actinopteri, Cypriniformes, Cyprinidae.
CCUAACGAUAUAACUGCGAGAGAAAGUAGGCUAUUGAAAUAUAUAUUUUCCUCCCAUCUGUUCCAUAGUACAUGUCAUUUUAUUUCCAAACACGGUAUUGGGAUAAGGCGGAAUGCGGGGGGGUUGUUGUAUCACGAUACCGGCUCAACAUCGUGAUAUUUAUCAGCCAUCGGCGAAGGAUAAUGGCAUCAUCUGUCGGCCCAACCCUGGAAGGGAUAAGUACACUCUUACCAAUAUACCGGUUUUCUUAGGUGUCCUAUGCCAUUGGAGUGGCCCACCCCUUGUCCAUCUCCAUCUUCCACUAUGGAACCUCACAGAGGAGCGAGAAGGAGCUGCUGGAGAUCGUGAAGAAGAACUUUGACCUCCGCCCGGGCGUCAUUGUCAGAGAGCUGGACCUGAAGAGGCCCAUCUACCAGCGCACCGCCGCCUAUGGCCACUUUGGCCGCGAGUCCUUCCCCUGGGAAGUUCCCAAAAAGCUUAAAUACUAAAUCUGUAACCCCCCCUCCUUUCAUUGGGCGGUAGGUGUACAUUACAGAGAAACCUACUCAACCCAUCGGAGGGGGGAGAUGUACCAAAACCCCUCACUCCUAACCUCACACCCGUUCCCAAAG